Molecule: ribosomal RNA, 497 nt
Filed under: uncultured bacterium
Lineage: Bacteria
Description: partial 16S ribosomal RNA
Rfam family: Bacterial small subunit ribosomal RNA
Source: RNAcentral
GAUGAACGCUGGCGGCGUGCCUAAUACAUGCAAGUCGAGCGAACGGACGAGAAGCUUGCUUCUCUGAUGUUAGCGGCGGACGGGUGAGUAACACGUGGAUAACCUACCUAUAAGACUGGGAUAACUUCGGGAAACCGGAGCUAAUACCGGAUGAUAUUUUGAACCGCAUGGUUCAAAAGUGAAAGACGGUCUUGCUGGCACUUAUAGAUGGAUCCGCGCUGCAUUAGCUAGUUGGUAAGGUAACGGCUUACCAAGGCAACGAUGCAUAGCCGACCUGAGAGGGUGAUCGGCCACACUGGAACUUGGACACGGUCCAGACUCCUACGGGAGGCAGCAGUAGGGAAUCUUCCGCAAUGGGCGAAAGCCUGACGGAGCAACGCCGCGUGAGUGAUGAAGGUCUUCGGAUCGUAAAACUCUGUUAUUAGGGAAGAACAUAUGUGUAAGUAACUGUGCACAUCUUGACGGUACCUAAUCAGAAAGCCACGGCUAACUACGUG